RNAcentral lists this ribosomal RNA (444 nucleotides) under uncultured bacterium. Its description in RNAcentral is "bacterial SSU rRNA". It matches the Rfam family "Bacterial small subunit ribosomal RNA", at positions 355 to 796 of the family's 1533-position model. The record is from RNAcentral.
UAAGGAAUAUUGGACAAUGCCCGCAAGGGUGAUCCAGCCAUGCCGCGUGCAGGAAGAAGGCCCUAUGGGUCGUAAACUGCUUUUGAACAAGAGAAAACCCUCCUACGUGUAGGAGGCUGAUAGUAUUGUUAGAAUAAGCAUCGGCUAACUUCGUGCCAGCAGCCGCGGUAAGACGAAGGAUGCAAGCGUUAUCCGGAUUCAUUGGGUUUAAAGGGUGCGUAGGCGGCCUGAUAAGUCAGUGGUGAAAUCUCCUCGCUUAACGAGGAAACUGCCAUUGAUACUGUCGGGCUUGAGUACAGAUGCUGUGGGCGGAAUAUGACAUGUAGUGGUGAAAUACAUAGAGAUGUCAUAGAACACCGAUUGCGAAGGCAGCUCACAAAACUGUAACUGACGCUGAGGCACGAAAGUGCGGGGAUCAAACAGGAUUAGAUACCCCUGUAGUCC